GGUAAGGUGGCCGAGAAGGUGGUGGGUUGUAGCCCCAAAUACGGAGGUUUAAGCCCUCCCCUUGCCA
This 67-nucleotide transfer RNA is filed under the name Allobates aff. melanolaemusi AR-2020. RNAcentral's name for it is "tRNA-Tyr". It matches the Rfam family "tRNA". From Rfam's summary of the family: Transfer RNA (tRNA) molecules are approximately 80 nucleotides in length. Their secondary structure includes four short double-helical elements and three loops (D, anti-codon, and T loops). The record is from RNAcentral. Lineage: Eukaryota; Metazoa; Chordata; Amphibia; Anura; Aromobatidae.